GUACUCGCUUCAGCAGCACAUAUACUAAAAUUGGAGCGAUACAGAGAAGAUUGGUAUGACCCCUGCGCAAGGAUGACACACAAAUUCGUGAAACGUUCCAUAUAUAU
Delphinapterus leucas (beluga whale) is the source of this 107-nucleotide small nuclear RNA. Lineage: Eukaryota; Metazoa; Chordata; Mammalia; Artiodactyla; Monodontidae. The record is from Ensembl.